UGGCAAUUGAAAACAAGAAAAUGCAAGGCAACCGUGAGAAGCAGGAUCUAAGCAUGCAUUUUUCCAGAAAAAUGAAGUUCCUCAUCUUCUUCGUUGUUCUUCGCUGCGGGAUUUCGCAAACGGCGAUGGAAAUUUACAAACUAUAUACCGGUCGAACCGGUUUUUCCUCAGGAUAACGAAUAUAUAAUCAAUUUCAUCAAUCAAUCAACACACAUCUUGAAUCGAAGGAAAAGGCGAAUGGAGACGAAACCUAAAUCGCGGAUUUCUCCCUCAAUCUUUAACGAAAUUACAAAUCACAAAUGGAUACGUUAUCUAUGAAGAAAAGGCGAAUGGAGACGAAACCUAAAUCGCGGAUUUCUCCCUCAAUCUUUAACGAAAUUACAAAUCACAAAUGGAUACGUUAUCUAUGAGCUACGUACUACACAAUCCCUAACUCGAUUGAAGCUGUCGCAAGAUUUUAAAUCCGACCUUUCUUGAAGCUAGCUGCAAUGGAGUUCGCGCGUUUCGGCUUGAUAAUGCGAAACAGGUAUAGAAGAUUGGUGCAGCAAGCGAAUAGUGGACGGGAUUCAGCUCGAGUACCUUUGAAUCACUCGUUUUCAUCAACUGUCAUGGAAGAAACUUCUUUCUACGGUUGCGAAAUCUUGCGUAUUGAGCUUCGAAUCCUGCAAACAGAAACUCAACAACAAGUAUAAUUGACGAAUCCACCAAGAAUUCGCAUUAAGCUUCAAGGAUCGUCGAUGAAUUGGUGAAAAAAGGUCCUUGAUGAAGAAAAAAUGUGAGAGAGCUUGAGAGCUUUUUGCUUCUUUCUGUUAUAUGGAAAUUGAGAUUGUGAAGAAAAAUGAUUCGUUUCAAAAUUCUGUUAUGGUUUAAGUAUAUAUACCAAGCACUAAUCCAAGUCUUAAUUAUGCUUAAUGAAAAAAAUAGUGAAUUAGUGAGAAUUGGCUUGUGUGCAUUUUGGACUUUUAGCUCUUGAAUCCUUAGAAGCAAUGUAGCAGCAA
Molecule: long non-coding RNA, 998 nt
Filed under: Lathyrus oleraceus (garden pea)
Lineage: Eukaryota; Viridiplantae; Streptophyta; Magnoliopsida; Fabales; Fabaceae
Description: Pisum sativum (pea) long non-coding RNA (PSAT_LNC031205)
Source: RNAcentral